This 354-nucleotide ribosomal RNA is filed under the name uncultured bacterium. Its description in RNAcentral is "bacterial SSU rRNA". It matches the Rfam family "Bacterial small subunit ribosomal RNA", at positions 9 to 350 of the family's 1533-position model. The record is from RNAcentral.
GAGUUUGUAUCCUGGCUCAGGAUGAACGCUAAGCUACAGGCUUAACACAUGCAAGUCGAGGGGAAACGACAUCGAAAGCUUGCUUUUGAUUGGGCGUCGACCGGCGCACGGGUGAGUAACGCGUAUCCAACCUGCCCAUCACUUGGGGAUAACCUUGCGAAAGUAAGACUAAUACCCAAUGAUAUCUCUAGAAGGCAUCUGAAAAGAGAUUAAAGAUUUAUCGGUGAUGGAUGGGGAUGCGUCUGAUUAGCUUGUUGGCGGGGUAACGGCCACCAAGCAACGAUCAGUAGGGGUUCUGAGAGGAAGGUCCCCCANAUUGGAACUGAGACACGGUCCAAACUCCUACGGGAGGCA